This 480-nucleotide ribosomal RNA is filed under the name uncultured bacterium. Its description in RNAcentral is "partial 16S ribosomal RNA". It matches the Rfam family "Bacterial small subunit ribosomal RNA", at positions 28 to 506 of the family's 1533-position model. The record is from RNAcentral.
GAUGAACGCUGGCGGCGUGCUUAACACAUGCAAGUCGAACGAAGCAUUUAGGACAGAUUACUUCGGUUUGAAGUUCUUUAUGACUGAGUGGCGGACGGGUGAGUAACGCGUGGGUAACCUGCCUUGUACUGGGGGAUAGCAGCUGGAAACGGCUGGUAAUACCGCAUAAGCGCACAAUGUUGCAUGACAUGGUGUGAAAAACUCCGGUGGUAUAAGAUGGACCCGCGUCUGAUUAGCUAGUUGGUGAGAUAACAGCCCACCAAGGCGACGAUCAGUAGCCGACCUGAGAGGGUGACCGGCCACAUUGGGACUGAGACACGGCCCAGACUCCUACGGGAGGCAGCAGUGGGGAAUAUUGCACAAUGGAGGAAACUCUGAUGCAGCGACGCCGCGUGAGUGAAGAAGUAAUUCGUUAUGUAAAGCUCUAUCAGCAGGGAAGAUAGUGACGGUACCCGACUAAGAAGCUCCGGCUAAAUACGU